UCUUUUCUCAAUCUCUGAACUCUGACCUUGUCACCCCCUUGUUUAUUUUGCAGGCAAAGAGAGUUGCUUUGAGCGCAUAAUGCAAAGGUUUGGCAGGAAAGUAGUGUAUGUUGUAGUUGGGGAUGGUGUGGAAGAGGAACAGGCAGCAAAAAAGCACAACAUGCCUUUCUGGAGGAUAUCCAGUCACUCUGACCUGCUGGCGUUGCACCAAGCACUGGAGUUUGAGUACCUGUAACUGUUACUAUAGCGAUGGACACAUCAAAAGUACCUGUUGUUGUUACCAUGGCGAUGGGCGAUGAUGGGAGAUAUAGCCCCGUCUUUUGUAUCUCUAUUUAAGAAACACAGUACACUGCAACGUUUUUGUCGUUUUCUUUUUUUUGUGACUUUUUUAACAUCUGGAUUUUAGAACUCUGAACUGUCUUAAAAGGAUGAGGACUGGAAGAGGGGAAGAGAGAGAGAGAAAGAGGAGGAUUAAGCAACAGACAGGAGGAUGAGAAGAGAGAAGAGGGAUGAAAGGAGAACAUGACUGAACUUUCCAACGUACCCUGUGACCUCUGUGAAACAUUGAUCCACCUUCGUAGGAUGUCUGGGCAAUGCGGGCUUUCGUCAUACACCAUCUCCGUGUAAACUACUUUGUAAAGUGGUUUGGAAAACUUGUUUGGUAUAUAUGCCUCAGUUGUUGUAAUCUGAUUUCCUACCCAACUUUUCAGGUUCUCACAUCCCUAUAACUCAAACUGAAGUCUGUGCAGUUACUGGCAACAACUAAUAAACAAAACAAGGAAGAGGGGGAGAGGGGUUUGUGAAUGAAAAGCAACUUAAUUUUUGUUUCCCAUUUUUUGGUUUCUCUCAUUUUUUGUAUGAUUAUUUUUUUUUGCAAGAAGAAUGUGCGUCAUGAUGUGUCGUGCCUUAUAAACGUGUUUGUGUGUUACUUUGUCACUUCUUUGUUUAUUUGGAAAUGCCUAUGUAGAUAAAAGAACAAAAUCUGA
Long non-coding RNA from Osmerus eperlanus (European smelt), 986 nucleotides. RefSeq lists it as uncharacterized. Lineage: Eukaryota; Metazoa; Chordata; Actinopteri; Osmeriformes; Osmeridae. The transcript is spliced from 2 exons. The record is from RefSeq and is a predicted model, not a curated record.